This 483-nucleotide long non-coding RNA is filed under the name Gossypium raimondii (Peruvian cotton). RNAcentral's name for it is "long non-coding RNA (GRAI_LNC007848)". Lineage: Eukaryota; Viridiplantae; Streptophyta; Magnoliopsida; Malvales; Malvaceae. The record is from RNAcentral.
UAAAAAAAGGGUUAAAUAUAAAAUUAGUACCCAAGCUUGUCCACUUUUCACAGAUUGAUACUUAUGGUUUUUUUGUCCCAGAUUGGUACCCGAACUUUUUUUUGUCAACUAUAUUGGUACCCGAGCCUAAUAUCGUUACUUUUUUGUUGAUGUGGUAGUACUAACCACUUAUAUGGUGCCAUGUGUCAUCCUCUUUGUACCUCCUUUUCUUUUUAUUUUCUUUUUCAUUUUCCCUCAUUUUCUUCCAUUUUUUCUUCUUUUUCUUUUUUUUUCCUACCCUAGCCGUCACACUAUCUUCUUUAUCUCCCAUUCCUCUUUUCUUCAUCACAAUUCCAUUCCUCUUUUCAUUUUUUUUAUUUUGUUUCUUCUCCUUUCUAUAUUAUUUCUCCGAUCGAUCCGACCAUCAAAACACUUCUCUCUUCCUCGUCUUCUCAAAUCUUGCCUUGUAUUUCCAAGAAAAUCUCUUUAAAGCCAAAAAAAUUA